GUUUUUUUCGCAAAGGAGAGUAAGUAAUAUACGCUACAACUUGUAACUUACAAGUGACGUGAUAAUUUUUUUCAUGUCAUCAAAUUGACGUGUUUUUGAAUCACUAAUUUGUUUUGGAGCUUCAUAGAAAUGUAACAUGCGUUAGGAGUGAUACCUGCAUCUGCAUAUCAUAUAGUAUAUACAAUAAUACAACAAAUUCUUUCGUCAAAAAGUAAAAAUUAAAAAGCAAAAUACAACAAUUUAUUAUUUAGCAAACAGUAUACCUAUGACGCAGAAUAAUAUAUUUUUUAUUAUUUAUAACUUUAUUUAAGAAAUAAAUAACUCAAUAAUCAACCAGUUGAGAGCUGAGGGAUUCUCCAACAGUGGGAGAUUGGAAGUAUCUAAUAAUUUUAGAAAAAAAAAUAGAAAAUAGGAGAGAAGGUAUUCAUAUAAUCUAUUAUAUUUAUAUUUCCAUGCCACUGUUUUGUUAAUUGAAGCUAUAACAAUAGAUUUAUCCGAAAUUAAUUAAUUUUGAACUGUAGAAAUGCCGUACAAAUUCAACUCGACAUCUCCAUUAAAUAUAGUCUCACUUUUUUUUUAUAGUAACUCCAUUGUUUUAUCCCUCAUUUCUUUCUCCUGCAACUUAAAAAUAGAACAAUUAAUUGGUUCAUAGCAUUCGAUUUGAUUGUCAAUUAUAAAGAAACAAAUUUCUGUAUAUAUCACAAGUUCGAUGUUCAUAGAUAUAUAUUAGUUUUUGGUUAACUUAAUACCAACUAGGGAUGUCAAAAUGAGUUAUAGCUCAUGAGUUGGCUCACCUCAAUUCGAUUUUUCAUGAGUAUGAGUUCUAUUUUUUAUGCUCAUUCAAUAAAUGAGUUUAAUGAUCGAGUUGAAAUUCGUUCACGAGUUAUAUAAACGGUUUUUAAUUAACACGAGCUAACUAAUGAGCUUGGUCAUUUUUAUAAUAUAUAUAUAUGACUUCUAUUUUUCUUAUGUAAGAAAAAUGGUUUACAUAUUAAUCAAAUUUAUCUUCUAAAAAUGUAAACCAAAAAGUUUUAAAUAUAUAUAAAAUGUAAAAAAAUAUUGAUAUCAAUCCUCAGAUCAAAUAUAUUUAGAACUAAAUGUAAUCAAAAUAUUUGUGAGACUCUCAUGCGAAAUAUAUAUCUUUAUGAUUUGAAUAGAUGAAGACUUUGAAUGAAUCAUCUUAAGACUCUUAUGUGGAAUGAAUUUUUGGAUCACUAAUUUAGCUUUUUUAUAAUUUAUUAUUAGGUUUUGGUUUUAUUCGGUAUAAAUAUUAAUGUUUUAGAUUUUAAUAUUUAAAUUUUAAAUUAUUUUAUGAAUAAAAAUUAUUCUAUAUUUAUUUAUAUUUUUUUAAUUUUUUUAUAUAUUUUGACUAUGAAUUAACUCAUUUAAUUCAUGAUCUAGAUGAUCUGAGUAAGAGUUUACAUAUGAAAGCUCAUAUAAUAAAUGAGCUGAUCUGAGAUAGCUCAUGAAAGAUCCGGGAUCAUUAUGAGCUGAUCUGAGUUGAUCAAACUAACUCAUUUUGAUACCCCUAAUACCAACCAGUAUUAAAAUUGCAAUAUAAAAACUUCCUUCAUUGUUUGACUAUCAUUAUAACACAGCGAUUAUUAGUAUUAACAACUAUUUUUCACCGAUCAAGCAAGCUAACAUUUGAAACUACAAUUUAUAAAAUCUCCAAAAAUAUACAUGAUAUUACUUGCAAUCAAUAUUAGUAUUUUUUUUAAAGAAAUUUUUACACUUACACAUACUUUUUCCUUCUUCCAUAUCACUUAGACAUACUUUCCUCAUGUCCAGUAUUUUAUUAAAUUCAAAUGACUCAACUACCCCUAAAACUACAAACUAGCUUAGUUACUUUUUUAACUCAUAUUUUCUUUUAUUUCAUUUCUUUUACUUUGCCCCACCAUAACCCACUAGCUCGUCUCUCUCCUUUUUAGAACUCUAAUAUGCUUCCGCCGCAACUCAAAAAUCAAACCUUUUCCACCGCCUAGUUAAUCUUAGAUCUGCGAUUCCUUCAUUCUCUUGUUGCGAGACAUGUAACUAAGAUGCAUCUUUCCUCCGUCUAGAUGAAGCCACAAACCACCCUUAAUUUGCUUCAAUCUUCAAGAAUCACCGGCGAAGAUAUCAUCUUAAGGCUACACUCCCCACCUUCCCGCCGUAACAGAACUCCUUCAUGACGUUUUGCUCCAACUCACUCAAUGUAAUGCCGGCUAAGCGAGACAUCUGCGUUUUGUAUACCACAAGAUCCCAGUUUCCUUGACAGAUCCAUUCACCUGCCAUGACCAUACAAUGCUCGUCCAUCUCUUGACCACAAGUAAUUAACCAUGCAAUGCUUGUCCAUCUCUUAACCACAAAAAACUUGCGAGACAUAUGUGUUUUGUCUACAACAAAAUCCCAGUUUCUUUCGUCUAGAUAGACCCAUUCACCUGCCAUGACCAUACAAUACUCGUCCAUUUCUUGACCACAAGUAAUUAAUGAGAGCUGUCCGAUUCUUUCCUAAAAUAUAUUCAUCUAACGGCUCACAAAUAAUACCUCUGUUUCAUGUACUACCAAUCUUUGACCAUUUAAUUGCAACCACCCAUGUAAUGACAAUUUCAAAGGAGGUUGCUUAACUCUUUUAGACUUAACCAAGGUUAGAAAGCUUGUCUACCAGAAGGGUUUUUUGGGGAGUGAAAAAGUUAAAGUAAGGGAAAAAGUACACCUCAUUCACAAAGCAUGUGAACAUGCAAGAAACAAUAAAAAAGUACCCUAAAACGUAAACGUCUCUGUUUUUAAUGACCCUUUGUGUACCAUAAUCUAUUGUUCCAUAGUCAUACCUUCCCUUGCUGAUGAUUUAAUUUAAAAUUUCCAAAUAUAAUAAAAAAAUAUCUUUCUAAAUAACAACUACUAUUUAAUUGUGAUUUAAUAUCCUUAUUUUUCUCUACAAGAAAUACGUAUCACUUAACCAAAAUAUUUAGAAACCAAAAUAUUUGCAAAUUAAAUCAUUUAUCAACAACAAUAUUUACAGAGAAUCAACAUAUAUUUUAAACAUUUUUGAUGUUUUGAGUAUUGUCUAGUUAUUUUAGAUAUUUACUUUUGACUAUUUGUAUAUAUUUUCAAGUAUUUUUGGAAAAUUUCAAAAUAUCUUUUAUAUUUUGAAAACUUUUUGAUAUAUUAAAUCUUAAAAUAAUUAAUAUAUUUAAAUAUAUAAAUAUGUUUCAGAUAUAUUCAGAUAUAUUCAGACACCCAAAAUAUUUUGAUUCAGAUCGGUUCGGUUCCGGUUCUUUAAAUACCAAAGUUUUGAACCAGUUCGGAUAUCAAACUAAUUUUGGUUUAGGUUCGGCACUAUAUGUUCUGAUUAGAAUCGGUUCGGUUCUUCGGAUUCAGAUUUUUUGUUGAGCCCUAUACUAGACAUAUAACUAUAUAAGCCCAAAAUUUAUUAAUCUAUCUAAAACACGAGUUAUUGAGUGAGUUCACAUGUUUAUUUAAGCUCAUUUUUAUUAUGUUGUUCGAUCAUUUAUCAUUCUAAAAUUAUAAACCAAAAAAAACAAUCUUACUAAAUCAUAAUUUAAUAGUGUACAUGAUUAUUAGUGUACAUGAUUAUUUUAAAUAUUAAAAACAUAAAAUAAAAUUUAUACAUAAUUACUAAUAAUUUAAAUUUUAUUAUACAUGCAAUUAUCAAAUUUAUUUAUAUAAAUUACUGAUACAAAUAAUAUUCAAAAAUGUAAUAUAUUAUAUAAUCUAGAACUCUUAUGGUAAAUGUUAAAGUAUAUAUCAUUAAUUUUGAAAACAAUAUUUACUUAUAAAAAGUAAAAUCAAAUACUCGUUUGAACGGAUCAAGCUUUAGUAAGUUCUUAAAUUGAACGUUGGAAAAUACUUAUACCAACCCUUUCCUCCACUCGGCAACAUCUAAUUAAUUUAGUUGUUUAAUUUUAAUUAAAAAAUUUAAUUGUUUAAUUAUAAUAUAUUAAAAUAAUAAUAUUUUGUUGUUAAAAACUUCCUUUUAAGAACCCAAACGUCAAUGUUGCUCUGAGAGUAGAAAGACUCCUAAAGCGUCCACGAUACCACAAAAUUCCAACCUCACCAAAUGCAUGAAAAGUCCAUAAAUGUGAGCCAAAGUUGAUCAGACAUUAAUUAGCUUUUGACAAUGAAAUCUAUUAAAUGUCUGAAAAUCAUGUUUACGGCGAAGGUUGAUAGAUUGGUUUUGCGUUGGCCGUUGAGUAUGCACUUGAGUUCGUUAGAUUUAUUUUUCAAUUUAUGCGCUUUAUAAUUUUUGUAAAACAUUAUUUAGUAAAAUAUCAAAAUAAAAUAAAUAGAUUAUAUAUGUGUGUAUUGUGUGAAAACUCAGUUUAAAAUCUAAACACCAAAAAAAAUAUUAUGCAUAAAACUGCAAAUGGAAAAAUUGACAAAAAGUAACAAUUUUUUUUUGUAAAUUUACGGUUUAAAUUUGAAAACUUAUUUUAAAAUUAUUGAGUUUUGUAAAUUAUUAAGAUGUGAAAAAAUUAUUUUUAAAGAAUUUUUGGCCAUCUCUAUAAUGUUAUUUGAAAAGUUACUUUAUUAGGUGAUGUGUUUUUUUUUGAAUUAUACAGAGAUAUUCUGGCCCCACAGAAGUGAUCAAGACUAGUCACGUGUUGCUACUUAAAUUAACUCAUGUACAU
Brassica rapa (field mustard) is the source of this 4631-nucleotide long non-coding RNA. RefSeq lists it as uncharacterized. Lineage: Eukaryota; Viridiplantae; Streptophyta; Magnoliopsida; Brassicales; Brassicaceae. The record is from RefSeq and is a predicted model, not a curated record.